RNAcentral lists this ribosomal RNA (245 nucleotides) under uncultured bacterium. RNAcentral's name for it is "partial 16S ribosomal RNA". It matches the Rfam family "Bacterial small subunit ribosomal RNA", at positions 524 to 768 of the family's 1533-position model. The record is from RNAcentral.
UACAGAGACUGCAAGCGUUAUUCGGAUUCACUGGGCGUAAAGGGUGCGCAGGCGGCCGUGUGUGUGAGGCGUGAAAGCCCGGGGCUUAACCCCGGAAUUGCACCUCAAACUACAUGGCUAGAGCAUUGGAGAGGGUAGCGGAAUUCACGGUGUAGCAGUGAAAUGCGUAGAUAUCGUGAGGAACACCAGAGGCGAAGGCGGCUACCUGGACAAUUGCUGACGCUCAGGCACGAAAGCGUGGGGAG